This 439-nucleotide ribosomal RNA is filed under the name uncultured bacterium. Its description in RNAcentral is "bacterial SSU rRNA". It matches the Rfam family "Bacterial small subunit ribosomal RNA", at positions 338 to 795 of the family's 1533-position model. The record is from RNAcentral.
CCUACGGUCGCAGCAGUGGGGAAUCUUAGACAAUGGGGGCAACCCUGAUCUAGCUAUGCCGCGUGAGUGAUGAAGGCCUUAGGGUUGUAAAGCUCUUCCAGCUGGGAAGAUAAUGACGGUACCAGCAGAAGAAGCCCCGGCUAACUCCGUGCCAGCAGCCGCGGUAAUACGGAGGGGGCUAGCGUUGUUCGGAAUUACUGGGCGUAAAGCGCACGUAGGCGGACUGGAAAGUCAGAGGUGAAAUCCCAGGGCUCUACCUUGGAACUGCCUUUGAAACUAUCAGUCUGGAGUUCGAGAGAGGUGAGUGGAAUUCCGAGUGUAGAGGUGAAAUUCGUAGAUAUUCGGGGGAACACCAGUGGCGAAGGCGGCUCACUGGCUCGAUACUGACGCUGAGGUGCGAAAGCGUGGGGAGCAAACAGGAUUAGAUACCCUAGUAGUC